This 197-nucleotide ribosomal RNA is filed under the name Chaetoceros curvisetus. RNAcentral's name for it is "partial Bacterial large subunit ribosomal RNA". It matches the Rfam family "Bacterial large subunit ribosomal RNA", at positions 2713 to 2925 of the family's 2925-position model. Lineage: Eukaryota; Bacillariophyta; Thalassiosirophyceae; Chaetocerotales; Chaetocerotaceae. The record is from RNAcentral.
UGUACCAGUUGUUCCGCCAGGAGCAGUGCUGGGUAGCUAUGAUCGGAAAGGAUAACCGCUGAAGGCAUCUAAGCGGGAAGCCCCCCUCAAAACAAGGUAUCCCUGAGAACCGAGGUAGACCACCUCGUCGAUAGGCCAGAGAUGUAAGCGUGGUAACACGCUCAGUUGACUGGUACUAAUUGUUCGAUAGGCUUGAU